UUCUUAUUCAUUUUGGCAAGCAUUAUGUGGACUUUACACUACGCUGUCGAUAUGUGUUUUCAGAUGUAUGAAAUUGAGUGUCCUAUCGUAUCUUAUCAUAUUGUGGCUUGGCUGACACCAAUUGAUAUUUUGGCAGCUGUCUUAAUACUAGGUUGGGGGCAUUGGUCUAAGCCCUGCCUUGAUGUUUAUGAUAAAAAACUUGUGUCAAGGAUGCUGUUUAAAUCACCUUUAUUUAUUAUUUUUGUUGUUAAUCCAGCUCUUUUUUU
Long non-coding RNA from Xenia sp. Carnegie-2017, 266 nucleotides. RefSeq lists it as uncharacterized. The transcript is spliced from 3 exons. Lineage: Eukaryota; Metazoa; Cnidaria; Anthozoa; Malacalcyonacea; Xeniidae. The record is from RefSeq and is a predicted model, not a curated record.